RNAcentral lists this ribosomal RNA (440 nucleotides) under uncultured bacterium. Its description in RNAcentral is "partial 16S ribosomal RNA". It matches the Rfam family "Bacterial small subunit ribosomal RNA", at positions 338 to 795 of the family's 1533-position model. The record is from RNAcentral.
CCUACGGGAGGCAGCAGUGGGGAAUAUUGCACAAUGGGGGAAACCCUGAUGCAGCGACGCCGCGUGAAGGAAGAAGUAUUUCGGUAUGUAAACUUCUAUCAGCAGGGAAGAAAAUGACGGUACCUGACCAAGAAGCCCCGGCUAACUACGUGCCAGCAGCCGCGGUAAUACGUAGGGGGCAAGCGUUAUCCGGAUUUACUGGGGGUAAAGGGAGCGUAGGCGGUGAGGCAAGUCAGAAGUGAAAGUCCGCAGCUCAACUGCGGGACUGCUUUUGAAACUGGAUGUCUAGAUUGCAGGAGAGGUAAGUGGAAUUCCGAGUGUAGCGGUGAAAUGCGUAGAUAUUAGGAAGAACACCAGUGGCGAAGGCGGCUUACUAGACUGUAACUGACGCUGAGGCUCGAAAGCGUGGGGAGCAAACAGGAUUAGAUACCCGGGUAGUC